GAGCACGUAGGUGGGUUUGUAAGUCAGAUGUGAAAGCCUUCUGUUCAACGGAAGAAUUGCAUCUGAAACUGCUAAUCUUGAGUAUAGGAGGGGAGAAUGGAACUUCUGGUGGAGCGGUGAAAUGCGUAGAUAUCGGAAGGAACGCCGGCGGCGAAAGCGAUUCUCUGGCCUAUUACUGACACUCAGUGUGCGAAAGCUAGGGGAGCAAACGGGAUUAGAUACCCCGGUAGUCCUAGCCGUAAACGAUGGGCACUAAGUAGAGGGGUUUU
This 269-nucleotide ribosomal RNA is filed under the name uncultured anaerobic ammonium-oxidizing bacterium. RNAcentral's name for it is "partial 16S ribosomal RNA". It matches the Rfam family "Bacterial small subunit ribosomal RNA", at positions 565 to 832 of the family's 1533-position model. The record is from RNAcentral.